GACGAACGCUGGCGGCGUGCUUAACACAUGCAAGUCGAACGGAAAGGCCCUGCUGUUGUGGGGUGCUCGAGUGGCGAACGGGUGAGUAACACGUGAGUAACCUGCCCUUGACUUUGGGAUAACUUCAGGAAACUGGGGCUAAUACCGGAUAGGAGCUCCUGCUGCAUGGUGGGGGUUGGAAAGUUUCGGCGGUUGGGGAUGGACUCGCGGCUUAUCAGCUUGUUGGUGGGGUAGUGGCUUACCAAGGCUUUGACGGGUAGCCGGCCUGAGAGGGUGAACGGCCACAUUGGGACUGAGAUACGGAGCAGACUCCUACGGGAGGCAGCAGUGGGGAAUAUUGCACAAUGGGCGGAAGCCUGAUGCAGCAGCGUCGCGUGCGGGAUGACGGCCUUCGGGUUGUAAACCGCUUUCGCCUGUGACGAAGCGUGAGUGACGGUAAUGGGUAAAGAAGCAACGGCUAACUACGUG
This 468-nucleotide ribosomal RNA is filed under the name uncultured bacterium. Its description in RNAcentral is "partial 16S ribosomal RNA". It matches the Rfam family "Bacterial small subunit ribosomal RNA", at positions 28 to 507 of the family's 1533-position model. The record is from RNAcentral.